CGUCUAUAUACGUAUAGCAUAUCAAUAAGCGGAGGAAAAGAAACUAACAAGGAUUCCCUUAGUAACGGCGAGUGAAGCGGGAAGAGCUCAAAUUUGAAAUCUUCAAGGUUCUACCUUGACGAAUUGUAGUUUAUAGAAGUGUUUUCUGUUAGUAGAGUGGCAAAAGUUCUUUGGAAUAGGACAUCAUAGAGGGUGAGAAUCCCGUAUUUGGUCAUUCCUUCCUAGCGUUGUGAUACACUUUCAACGAGUCGGAUUGUUUGGGAAUGCAGUCCAAAAUGGGUGGUAAAUUUCAUCUAAAGCUAAAUAUUGGCGAGAGACCGAUAGCGAACAAGUACCGUGAGGGAAAGAUGAAAAGAACUUUGAAAAGAGAGUUAAACAGUACGUGAAAUUGUCAAAAGGGAAGCGUUUGACACCAGUGUUGUUUUUCCGAAAAUCAAUUACGAAUGUUUUAUUUUUGAGGAAGUUAUGACUUCAUCGGCUUGCCCUUCUCUCUUUAUCGAAACUUUCUUAAUGCACUUUUCGGUUAACAAGUCAACAUCAAUUUCUUUUGUUGUAAAAGGGUAUGAGGAAGGUGGCUUUCUUUUCGGAGAAAGUGUUUAUAGUCUUGUAGCCUCUGCAAUCGGAGAGACUGAGGUCUGCAGCGUAGAUCCUUCGGGGUUAGAUACAGUUUGUGCUAAGUUAUAGCUUUUCAUAGACAACUUGUUGACUAUGUUAGUCUUGUAGCUUACUCGCUUAUGCUAUUUUACCUACGCUUAGGAUGUUGACGAGACUGUCGAUCUC
This 780-nucleotide ribosomal RNA is filed under the name uncultured Neocallimastigales. RNAcentral's name for it is "partial large subunit ribosomal RNA". It matches the Rfam family "Eukaryotic large subunit ribosomal RNA", at positions 26 to 647 of the family's 3401-position model. Lineage: Eukaryota; Fungi; Neocallimastigomycota; Neocallimastigomycetes; Neocallimastigales. The record is from RNAcentral.